UGAACGCUGGCGGCCGUGCCAAUACAUGCAAGUCGAGCGAGAAUCUUCAGAACAAUCUUCGGAUGCGUUCAGGAGAGGAAAGCGGCGGACGGGUGAGUAACGCGUAGGCAACCUGCCCCUGGCAGAGGGAUAGCCAUUGGAAACGAUGAUUAAAACCUCAUAAAGCUCAAAGAGCACAUGCUCAUUGAGCCAAAGAUUUAUCGGCGUGGGGAUGGGCCUGCGUCUGAUUAACUAGUUGGUGAGGUAACGGCCCACCAAGGUGACGAUCAGUAGCCGACCUGAGAGGGUGAUCGGCCACAUUGGAACUGAGACACGGUCCAAACUUCUACGGAAGGCAGCAGUAAGGAAUCUUGCACAAUGGGGGAAACCCUGAUGCAGCAACGCCGCGUGAACGAUGAAGGCCUUAGGGUUGUAAAGUUCUGAUCUGUGGGAAGAAGAAAGUGACGGUACCACAGGAGAAAGCCCCGGCUAAAUACGUGCCAGCCGCCGC
This 490-nucleotide ribosomal RNA is filed under the name uncultured bacterium. RNAcentral's name for it is "bacterial SSU rRNA". It matches the Rfam family "Bacterial small subunit ribosomal RNA", at positions 30 to 518 of the family's 1533-position model. The record is from RNAcentral.